This 519-nucleotide ribosomal RNA is filed under the name Escherichia coli. RNAcentral describes it as "partial 23S ribosomal RNA". It matches the Rfam family "Bacterial large subunit ribosomal RNA", at positions 1 to 559 of the family's 2925-position model. The record is from RNAcentral. Lineage: Bacteria; Pseudomonadati; Pseudomonadota; Gammaproteobacteria; Enterobacterales; Enterobacteriaceae.
GGUUAAGCGACUAAGCGUACACGGUGGAUGCCCUGGCAGUCAGAGGCGAUGAAGGACGUGCUAAUCUGCGAUAAGCGUCGGUAAGGUGAUAUGAACCGUUAUAACCGGCGAUUUCCGAAUGGGGAAACCCAGUGUGUUUCGACACACUAUCAUUAACUGAAUCCAUAGGUUAAUGAGGCGAACCGGGGGAACUGAAACAUCUAAGUACCCCGAGGAAAAGAAAUCAACCGAGAUUCCCCCAGUAGCGGCGAGCGAACGGGGAGCAGCCCAGAGCCUGAAUCAGUGUGUGUGUUAGUGGAAGCGUCUGGAAAGGCGCGCGAUACAGGGUGACAGCCCCGUACACAAAAAUGCACAUACUGUGAGCUCGAUGAGUAGGGCGGGACACGUGGUAUCCUGUCUGAAUAUGGGGGGACCAUCCUCCAAGGCUAAAUACUCCUGACUGACCGAUAGUGAACCAGUACCGUGAGGGAAAGGCGAAAAGAACCCCGGCGAGGGGAGUGAAAAAGAACCUGAAACCGU